CUUUCUUUGCUGGCGACCGGCGCACGGGUGAGUAACACGUAUCCAACCUGCCCUUUACUCGGGGAUAGCCUUUCGAAAGAAAGAUUAAUACCCGAUAGUAUAAUGAUUCCGCAUGGUUUCAUUAUUAAAGGAUUCCGGUAAAGGAUGGGGAUGCGUUCCAUUAGGUUGUUGGUGAGGUAACGGCUCACCAAGCCUUCGAUGGAUAGGGGCUCUGAGAGGAAGGUCCCCCACAUUGGAACUGAGACACGGUCCAA
This 254-nucleotide ribosomal RNA is filed under the name uncultured bacterium. RNAcentral describes it as "partial 16S ribosomal RNA". It matches the Rfam family "Bacterial small subunit ribosomal RNA", at positions 79 to 334 of the family's 1533-position model. The record is from RNAcentral.